This 323-nucleotide ribosomal RNA is filed under the name uncultured bacterium. RNAcentral describes it as "bacterial SSU rRNA". It matches the Rfam family "Bacterial small subunit ribosomal RNA", at positions 32 to 345 of the family's 1533-position model. The record is from RNAcentral.
AAUCAACGCUGGCGGCGUGCCUCAGACAUGCAAGUCGAACGAUUAAAGCUCUCUUCGGAGAGUGCAUAAAGUGGCGCACGGGUGAGUAACACGUAAGUAAUCUACCUUCGAGUGGGGAAUAACGUCCGGAAACGGACGCUAAUACCGCAUAACGCAGCGGCAUCGCAAGAUGACAGUUGUUAAAGAUUUAUCGCUUGAAGAGGAGCUUGCGGCAGAUUAGCUUGUUGGUAAGGUAACGGCUUACCAAGGCUACGAUCUGUAUCCGGUCUAAGAGGACGGUCGGACACACUGACACUGAAUAACGGGUCAGACCUCCGUACGGG